This 253-nucleotide ribosomal RNA is filed under the name uncultured bacterium. Its description in RNAcentral is "partial 16S ribosomal RNA". It matches the Rfam family "Bacterial small subunit ribosomal RNA", at positions 524 to 776 of the family's 1533-position model. The record is from RNAcentral.
UACGGAGGGUGCAAGCGUUAUCCGGAUUCACUGGGUUUAAAGGGUGUGUAGGCGGGCUGUUAAGUCAGUGGUGAAAUCUCCGGGCUCAACCCGGAAACUGCCAUUGAUACUAUCAGUCUUGAAUAUCGUUGAGGUAGGCGGAAUAUAUCAUGUAGCGGUGAAAUGCAUAGAUAUGAUAUAGAACACCGAUUGCGAAGGCAGCUUACUAAACGAUUAUUGACGCUGAGGCACGAAAGCGUGGGGAUCAAACAGG